Molecule: ribosomal RNA, 468 nt
Filed under: uncultured bacterium
Lineage: Bacteria
Description: partial 16S ribosomal RNA
Rfam family: Bacterial small subunit ribosomal RNA
Source: RNAcentral
GACGAACGCUGGCGGCGUGCUUAACACAUGCAAGUCGAACGGACAGGCCCUGCUCUUGCGGGGUGCUCGUGUGGCGAACGCGUGAGUAACACGCGAGUAAACCGCCCUUGUCUUUGUGAUAACUUCAGGAAACUGGGGCUCAUAUCGGAUAGGAGCUCUUGAUGCACGGUGGGGGUUGGAAAGUUUCGGCGGUUGGGGAUGGACUCGCGGCUUAUCAGCUUGUUGGUGGGGUAGUGGCUUACCAAGGUUUUGACGGGUAGCCGGCCUGAGAGGGUGACCGGCGACAAGGGUACUGAGAGAGGGACCAGACUCCUACGGGAGGCAGCAGGGGGGAAUAUUGCACAAUGAGCGGAAGCCUGAUGCAGCAACGCCGCGUGCGGAAUGACGGCCUUCGGGUUGUAAACCACUUUCGCCGGUGACGAAGCGUGAGUGACGGUAAUUGGUAAAGAAGCACCGGCUAACUACGUG